This 267-nucleotide transfer-messenger RNA is filed under the name Kordiimonadaceae bacterium. Its description in RNAcentral is "partial transfer-messenger RNA". It matches the Rfam family "Alphaproteobacteria transfer-messenger RNA", at positions 47 to 355 of the family's 355-position model. Rfam says of the family: Bacterial tmRNA, also known as 10Sa RNA or SsrA, is named for its dual tRNA and mRNA-like properties. Its role is to liberate the mRNA from a stalled ribosome. Lineage: Bacteria; Pseudomonadati; Pseudomonadota; Alphaproteobacteria; Kordiimonadales; Kordiimonadaceae. The record is from RNAcentral.
AACCGACUACGGCAAUAAACUGAUAUAUGGAAUAAACGUUACGGACCCGGGGGCGGUACCCGGCGCCUCCACCAUUACCCUAAGUUAUUGGAAAUGGGGGCGAAAUAGGAUCGACGUGCGCAAUAAAGAUAUGACUUUUGCUCAGCAUGACACCGCUGUAACGGGUCAAAUUUUGUAAAUGCAAACGAUAAUGAAGCAUUUGCUGUAGCAGCUUAAUUGUGAGCUACGCGGGGUUCGGUAGGCACCUAGCAACAGAAGCCUACCACU